RNAcentral lists this long non-coding RNA (508 nucleotides) under Ananas comosus (pineapple). RNAcentral's name for it is "long non-coding RNA (ACOM_LNC008670)". The record is from RNAcentral. Lineage: Eukaryota; Viridiplantae; Streptophyta; Magnoliopsida; Poales; Bromeliaceae.
UUAGUGUCGGAUUAUUUGUGCAAAAGCUUUACAUGUUAAAAAUACGCAACCAAUUCAUUUAAGGCAUACAAGUACAAUGCUUAUGGAUCUCGAUUGUGAUUCGCCCAAACCAACCUACGCCAUUUCGAACAUGAGUCAGCCUAACCCAGCCUCACACCAUUUUAAAUAUGACUCGGUCUAACCUCGCCUCCGACCACAAGGUAGGAUGGUGGCUCAUUUAAGCCAACAAUACUCUCUCUAGUAUAUGUACAAAAUUAUAGCAUGCAGGAAUCAAACCCAUGAUCUUUGACUCUAAUACCACUUGGCGGAUUGUUCGCACUACUAUUAAUCCCAAAAUUAAGUUCGAGCUAUUAGAAAUAUACAACAAAUUUACUUAAAGCUACAGACACAGCGUUCAUAGAUCUCGAUUAUGACUCGUCCCAACCAGCCUCGUGUUAUUUCGAACGUUACUUGAUCCAACCUAACAGCCCGCCAUAGGUAGGAUGCUGGCUUAUUUAAGCCAAAAUUA